UACGAAGGGGGCUAGCGUUGUUCGGAAUUACUGGGCGUAAAGCGCACGUAGGCGGAUAUUUAAGUCAGGGGUGAAAUCCCAGAGCUCAACUCUGGAACUGCCUUUGAUACUGGGUAUCUCGAGUAUGGAAGAGGUGAGUGGAAUUCCGAGUGUAGAGGUGAAAUUCGUAGAUAUUCGGAGGAACACCAGUGGCGAAGGCGGCUCACUGGUCCAUUACUGACGCUGAGGUGCGAAAGCGUGGGGAGCAAACGGG
Molecule: ribosomal RNA, 253 nt
Filed under: uncultured bacterium
Lineage: Bacteria
Description: partial 16S ribosomal RNA
Rfam family: Bacterial small subunit ribosomal RNA
Source: RNAcentral